UGCCAUUGCUAAGUCAAGGCUUCUUCCCGUGCAUAUUUUCUUGCCACCUCUCUAUGGAAGUAUUUUGUCUGUUACAGCUUUGGUAGAUGAAUUCUAGCCCGCCGCCUUGGUUUCUUUCUGAAAUUGGGGUUGACAAGCGAUCGUUUUGAGAGCUCUGUCGUAUAGGGCUUGCUGUGUCUUGUUUUGAGUUGAGUCCUGCUUCCACUUCAUUUUUGUGGCACCAUAGCAGUUCUCUUAGUAACAUCUCACACAUUG
Molecule: small nucleolar RNA, 255 nt
Organism: Blastomyces gilchristii SLH14081
Lineage: Eukaryota; Fungi; Ascomycota; Eurotiomycetes; Onygenales; Ajellomycetaceae
Rfam family: Small nucleolar RNA snR191
Source: Rfam